This is a long non-coding RNA of Cervus elaphus (red deer), 192 nucleotides long. RefSeq lists it as uncharacterized. Lineage: Eukaryota; Metazoa; Chordata; Mammalia; Artiodactyla; Cervidae. The record is from RefSeq and is a predicted model, not a curated record. The transcript has 3 exons.
AGCGUUGAGUGCAGCAGCCAUGAGGUUCCCUACCGUCACAGCUCACAGUAAAUCAUUUCCCAGUGCUAAGAAUUUAGUGAGGCCAGCAGACUCUGCAAUUGGAGUUGGCCACAUCUCAACAACUAAAGGCAUGCAGGGAGCAGCUUCUUACAAGAGAAGCGGAAAUCGCGGAGCUGAAAGCCGAAAGGAACA